GACCUAACCCGACGAGUUUAUCUCGGCGGUAUGGUCCAAAACCGCGACGAACAUAGAGAACCCGUUAUCAGGGCGUUCGUCGCGUUGCCAGUGGAAACACUGGUAGAGGUUACCGCAAGGUGCCUU
RNAcentral lists this small RNA (126 nucleotides) under unclassified sequences. Its description in RNAcentral is "LOOT RNA". It matches the Rfam family "LOOT RNA". From Rfam's summary of the family: Latescibacteria, OD1/Parcubacteria, OP11, TM7. Lineage (Microgenomates, aka OP11) The record is from Rfam by way of RNAcentral.